Molecule: ribosomal RNA, 254 nt
Filed under: uncultured bacterium
Lineage: Bacteria
Description: partial 16S ribosomal RNA
Rfam family: Bacterial small subunit ribosomal RNA
Source: RNAcentral
GACAGAGGAUGCAAGCGUUAUCCGGAAUGAUUGGGCGUAAAGCGUCUGUAGGUGGCUUUUUAAGUCCGCCGUCAAAUCCCAGGGCUCAACCCUGGACAGGCGGUGGAAACUACCAAGCUGGAGUACGGUAGGGGUAGAGGGAAUUUCCAGUGGAGCGGUGAAAUGCGUAGAUAUUGGAAAGACCACCGAUGGCGAAGGCACUCUACUGGGCCACUACUGACACUGAGAGACGAAAGCUAGGGGGAGCAAAUGGG